GUGAACGCUGGCGGUAGGCCUAACACAUGCAAGUCGAACGGCAGCACAGUAAGAGCUUGCUCUUACGGGUGGCGAGUGGCGGACGGGUGAGGAAUACAUCGGAAUCUACUUUUUCGUGGGGGAUAACGUAGGGAAACUUACGCUAAUACCGCAUACGACCUACGGGUGAAAGCAGGGGAUCUUCGGACCUUGCGCGAUUGAAUGAGCCGAUGUCGGAUUAGCUAGUUGGCGGGGUAAAGGCCCACCAAGGCGACGAUCCGUAGCUGGUCUGAGAGGAUGAUCAGCCACACUGGAACUGAGACACGGUCCAGACUCCUACGGGAGGCAGCAGUGGGGAAUAUUGGACAAUGGGCGCAAGCCUGAUCCAGCCAUACCGCGUGGGUGAAGAAGGCCUUCGGGUUGUAAAGCCCUUUUGUUGGGAAAGAAAAGCAGCAGGUUAAUACCCCGCUGUUCUGACGGUACCCAAAGAACAAGCACCGGCUAACUUCGUG
Molecule: ribosomal RNA, 491 nt
Filed under: uncultured bacterium
Lineage: Bacteria
Description: partial 16S ribosomal RNA
Rfam family: Bacterial small subunit ribosomal RNA
Source: RNAcentral